AUCCAGCUGACGAGUCUCAAAUAGAGGACGAAACGCACGUCCUCCAU
RNAcentral lists this non-coding RNA (47 nucleotides) under Schistosoma margrebowiei. The record is from RNAcentral. Lineage: Eukaryota; Metazoa; Platyhelminthes; Trematoda; Strigeidida; Schistosomatidae.